This 1369-nucleotide ribosomal RNA is filed under the name uncultured bacterium. RNAcentral's name for it is "bacterial SSU rRNA". It matches the Rfam family "Bacterial small subunit ribosomal RNA", at positions 28 to 1381 of the family's 1533-position model. The record is from RNAcentral.
GACGAACGCUGGCGGCGUGCCUAAUACAUGCAAGUAGAACGCUGAAGAGAGGAGCUUGCUCUUCUUGGAUGAGUUGCGAACGGGUGAGUAACGCGUAGGUAACCUGCCUUGUAGCGGGGGAUAACUAUUGGAAACGAUAGCUAAUACCGCAUAACAAUGGAUGACCCAUGUCAUUUAUUUGAAAGGGGCAAAUGCUCCACUACAAGAUGGGCCUGCGUUGUAUUAGCUAGUAGGUGAGGUAACGGCUCACCUAGGCGACGAUACAUAGCCGACCUGAGAGGGUGAUCGGCCACACUGGGACUGAGACACGGCCCAGACUCCUACGGGAGGCAGCAGUAGGGAAUCUUCGGCAAUGGGGGCAACCCUGACCGAGCAACGCCGCGUGAGUGAAGAAGGUUUUCGGAGCGUAAAGCUCUGUUGUAAGUCAAGAACGAGUGUGAGAGUGGAAAGUUCACACUGUGACGGUAGCUUACCAGAAAGGGACGGCUAACUACGUGCCAGCAGCCGCGGUAAUACGUAGGUCCCGAGCGUUGUCCGGAUUUAUUGGGCGUAAAGCGAGCGCAGGCGGUUUGAUAAGUCUGAAGUUAAAGGCUGUGGCUCAACCAUAGUUCGCUUUGGAAACUGUCAAACUUGAGUGCAGAAGGGGAGAGUGGAAUUCCAUGUGUAGCGGUGAAAUGCGUAGAUAUAUGGAGGAACACCGGUGGCGAAAGCGGCUCUCUGGUCUGUAACUGACGCUGAGGCUCGAAAGCGUGGGGAGCGAACAGGAUUAGAUACCCUGGUAGUCCACGCCGUAAACGAUGAGUGCUAGGUGUUGGAUCCUUUCCGGGAUUCAGUGCCGCAGCUAACGCAUUAAGCACUCCGCCUGGGGAGUACGACCGCAAGGUUGAAACUCAAAGGAAUUGACGGGGGCCCGCACAAGCGGUGGAGCAUGUGGUUUAAUUCGAAGCAACGCGAAGAACCUUACCAGGUCUUGACAUCCCGAUGCUAUUUCUAGAGAUAGAAAGUUACUUCGGUACAUCGGUGACAGGUGGUGCAUGGUUGUCGUCAGCUCGUGUCGUGAGAUGUUGGGUUAAGUCCCGCAACGAGCGCAACCCCUAUUGUUAGUUGCCAUCAUUCAGUUGGGCACUCUAGCGAGACUGCCGGUAAUAAACCGGAGGAAGGUGGGGAUGACGUCAAAUCAUCAUGCCCCUUAUGCCCUGGGCUACACACGUGCUACAAUGGUUGGUACAACGAGUUGCGAGUCGGUGACGGCAAGCUAAUCUCUUAAAGCCAACCUCAGUUCGGAUUGUAGGCUGCAACUCGCCUACAUGAAGUCGGAAUCGCUAGUAAUCGCGGAUCAGCACGCCGCGGUGAAUACGUUCCCGGGCCU